This 93-nucleotide non-coding RNA is filed under the name uncultured Ruminococcus sp. RNAcentral's name for it is "TPP riboswitch (THI element)". The stretch from base 5 to 85 matches the Rfam family "TPP riboswitch aptamer (THI element)", at positions 11 to 88 of the family's 105-position model. From Rfam's summary of the family: Vitamin B(1) in its active form thiamin pyrophosphate (TPP) is an essential coenzyme that is synthesised by coupling of pyrimidine and thiazole moieties in bacteria. Lineage: Bacteria; Bacillati; Bacillota; Clostridia; Eubacteriales; Oscillospiraceae. The record is from RNAcentral.
AAAAAGGGGAGCUUGUAUUCAGGCUGAGAGGAAGGCGAUCGAGCCUUCGACCCUGAACCUGAUUUGGAUAAUGCCAACGUAGGGACAUUCAUA